GACGAACGCUGGCGGCGUGCUUAACACAUGCAAGUCGAACGAAGUGGCGAACGGGUGAGUAACGCGUAAUCAACCUGCCCUUCAGGGGGGGACAACAGUUGGAAACGACUGCUAAUACCGCAUACUGAAGGAGGGGUAUGCGGCUGAUUAGCUAGGUGGAGGGGUAACGGCCCACCAAGGCGAUGAUCAGUAGCCGGUCUGGGAGGAUGAACGGCCACAUUGGGACUGAGACACGGCCCAGACUCCUACGGGAGGCAGCCGGUGGGAAUCUUCCGCAAUGGACGAAAGUCUGACGGAGCAAAGCCGCGUGAGUGAUGACGGCCUUCGGGUUGUUAAGCUAUGUUAAUCGGGACGCGGUACCGGCAUAGAAAGCAACGGCUAACUACGUGCCAGCAGCCGCGGUAAUAC
This 408-nucleotide ribosomal RNA is filed under the name uncultured bacterium. Its description in RNAcentral is "partial 16S ribosomal RNA". It matches the Rfam family "Bacterial small subunit ribosomal RNA", at positions 28 to 526 of the family's 1533-position model. The record is from RNAcentral.